CGAGAGGUCGGCGCGGGCAGGCGCCUCGCCAACCUGGUCAGGUCCGGAAGGAAGCAGCCACAACGAGCCCCGUCUGGGUCGUGCCCGGCCUCUCACCC
This 98-nucleotide signal recognition particle RNA is filed under the name Paracoccus sp. (in: a-proteobacteria). RNAcentral describes it as "Paracoccus sp. (anaerobic digester metagenome) signal recognition particle sRNA small type". It matches the Rfam family "Bacterial small signal recognition particle RNA". Rfam says of the family: The signal recognition particle (SRP) is a universally conserved ribonucleoprotein involved in the co-translational targeting of proteins to membranes. Archaeal SRP consists of a 7S RNA and homologues of the eukaryotic SRP19 and SRP54 proteins. In most bacteria, the SRP consists of a 4.5S RNA and the Ffh protein (a homologue of the eukaryotic SRP54 protein). Lineage: Bacteria; Pseudomonadati; Pseudomonadota; Alphaproteobacteria; Rhodobacterales; Paracoccaceae. The record is from RNAcentral.